This 417-nucleotide ribosomal RNA is filed under the name Microbacterium testaceum. RNAcentral describes it as "bacterial SSU rRNA". It matches the Rfam family "Bacterial small subunit ribosomal RNA", at positions 78 to 509 of the family's 1533-position model. RNAcentral also lists the same sequence under 1 other name. Lineage: Bacteria; Bacillati; Actinomycetota; Actinomycetes; Micrococcales; Microbacteriaceae. The record is from RNAcentral.
GCUUGCUUGGUGGAUCAGUGGCGAACGGGUGAGUAACACGUGAGCAACCUGCCCUGGACUCUGGGAUAAGCGCUGGAAACGGCGUCUAAUACUGGAUAUGAGCCUCUUCCGCAUGGUGGGGGUUGGAAAGAUUUUUUGGUCUGGGAUGGGCUCGCGGCCUAUCAGCUUGUUGGUGAGGUAAUGGCUCACCAAGGCGUCGACGGGUAGCCGGCCUGAGAGGGUGACCGGCCACACUGGGACUGAGACACGGCCCAGACUCCUACGGGAGGCAGCAGUGGGGAAUAUUGCACAAUGGGCGAAAGCCUGAUGCAGCAACGCCGCGUGAGGGAUGACGGCCUUCGGGUUGUAAACCUCUUUUAGCAGGGAAGAAGCGAAAGUGACGGUACCUGCAGAAAAAGCGCCGGCUAACUACGUGCC